CAGUAGCCGCGGUAGUACGGAGGGGGCUAGCGUUGUUCGGAAUUACUGGGCGUAAAGCGCACGUAGGCGGCUUGGUAAGUUAGAGGUGAAAGCCUGGAGCUCAACUACAGAAUUGCCUUUAAGACUGCCGAGCUAGCAGGUGAGAGAGGUAAGUGGAAUUCCGAGUGUAGAGGUGAAAUUCGUAGAUAUUCGGAAGAACACCAGUGGCGAAGGCGGCUUACUGGCUCAUACUGGACGCUGAGGUGCGAAAGCGUGGGGAGCAAACAGGAUUAGAUACCCCUGUAGUCCCUGUCUCUUAUAC
RNAcentral lists this ribosomal RNA (301 nucleotides) under uncultured bacterium. Its description in RNAcentral is "partial 16S ribosomal RNA". It matches the Rfam family "Bacterial small subunit ribosomal RNA", at positions 509 to 807 of the family's 1533-position model. The record is from RNAcentral.